Molecule: ribosomal RNA, 417 nt
Filed under: uncultured bacterium
Lineage: Bacteria
Description: bacterial SSU rRNA
Rfam family: Bacterial small subunit ribosomal RNA
Source: RNAcentral
UGGGGAAUAUUGGGCAAUGGGCGCAAGCCUGACCCAGCAACGCCGCGUGAAGGAAGAAGGCCCUCGGGUUGUAAACUUCUUUUAUCAGGGACGAAGGAGUGACGGUACCUGAUGAAUAAGCCACGGCUAACUACGUGCCAGCAGCCGCGGUAAUACGUAGGUGGCAAGCGUUAUCCGGAUUUACUGGGUGUAAAGGGCGUGUAGGCGGGAUGGUAAGUCAGAUGUGAAAACUCAGGGCUCAACCCUGAGCCUGCAUUUGAAACUAUCGUUCUUGAGUGAUGGAGAGGCAGGCGGAAUUCCGUGUGUAGCGGUGAAAUGCGUAGAUAUACGGAGGAACACCAGUGGCGAAGGCGGCCUGCUGGACAUUAACUGACGCUGAGGCGCGAAAGCGUGGGGAGCAAACAGGAUUAGAUACCC